This 308-nucleotide ribosomal RNA is filed under the name uncultured bacterium. Its description in RNAcentral is "bacterial SSU rRNA". It matches the Rfam family "Bacterial small subunit ribosomal RNA", at positions 30 to 334 of the family's 1533-position model. The record is from RNAcentral.
AUUGAACGCUGGCGGUAUGCUUAACACAUGCAAGUCGAACGGCAGCGCGGAGAGCUUGCUCUCUGGCGGCGAGUGGCGGACGGGUGAGUAAUACAUAGGAAUCUGCCCAGUAGUGGGGGAUAACCCGAGGAAACUCGGGCUAAUACCGCAUACGCCCUACGGGGGAAAGCGGGGGAUCUUCGGACCUCGCGUUAUUGGAUGAGCCUAUGUCGGAUUAGCUUGUUGGUGGGGUAACGGCCCACCAAGGCGACGAUCCGUAGCUGGUCUGAGAGGACGAUCAGCCACACUGGGACUGAGACACGGCCCAG